AAACCGUUACCAUUACUUGU
RNAcentral lists this microRNA (20 nucleotides) under Chiloscyllium plagiosum (whitespotted bambooshark). RNAcentral describes it as "microRNA PC-5p-2003_629". Lineage: Eukaryota; Metazoa; Chordata; Chondrichthyes; Orectolobiformes; Hemiscylliidae. The record is from RNAcentral.